AGUGAGUAGGCUAUAUACUUGAAAGUAUAGUAUUUCAAUACUUAAGAAUGUAUAGUUCAAUCAAAUGCUUUAAGAAUAUAGGCAGCUAACCCAUCCUGCCAUUUAAAAAAUGUCCUACUAAAAUUUUCAUUCCCACAUUUUGGUACCCUAAAUAAUUUUAGGAAGAAACAUCUGACUGACUUCCGUCAGAAGUUGGACAGGAUUUUAGCUUGUGCUCUGAGUGCUCAGACUUGCUGUGUGCCCUUCACACUGUUGGAAAGAAGGAAAAGGCCAUUCAGUGGAGAGCUGACAAAACUUCCAGGAGAAUCGGACUUCGGUGAUGCACUCGUCCAUUUCGUUUGACUACGGUACCCACAGCAGCUAGGACAGGAUCUGGCGCUUAAACUUCAACACGAAGAACAGAGGUCAGUAUCACAUAACUUCUGUACCAGCUGGAGGAAAGUAGAAGAUGCACUUGGUUCUAUUUUACAGAGAGACCAUCACAGAGAGACAUUGUGACGUCUCCAGCAACCUCAUCG
Molecule: long non-coding RNA, 518 nt
Filed under: Bos indicus x Bos taurus (hybrid cattle)
Lineage: Eukaryota; Metazoa; Chordata; Mammalia; Artiodactyla; Bovidae
Description: lncRNA (ENSBIXG00005013568.1)
Source: RNAcentral